CACGAACCGUACGAACGUUAUUCGGAAUUACUGGGCUUAAAGGGUUUGUAGGCGGCCAUGUAAGUCAGGUGUGAAAUCCCUCGGCUCAACCGAGGAACUGCCUUCCAAACUGCCUGGGCUUGAGUCCGGGAGAGGUGAGUGGAAUUCCCAGUGUAGCGGUGAAAUGCGUAGAUAUUGGGAGGAACACCAGUGGCGAAGGCGGCUCACUGGACCGGAACUGACGCUGAGGCGCGAAAGCGUGGGGAGCAAACGGG
RNAcentral lists this ribosomal RNA (254 nucleotides) under uncultured bacterium. RNAcentral describes it as "partial 16S ribosomal RNA". It matches the Rfam family "Bacterial small subunit ribosomal RNA", at positions 524 to 776 of the family's 1533-position model. The record is from RNAcentral.